GGAGAGACAGAAUAGAGAAGGGGGAAGGAUAGGGGGGAGAGACCAGAACACCAAGGUUGAUGAGUGGAGGGGGAGGGGUGGUGGGAGAGGAUGUUAGUGUGAGAAUGUUGGUGCUGCUGAUGAGAGUUUGUAAAGGAGGUGUGUGUGUGUCUCCUUUUAAAUCAGGUAUUUAGGGCUGCUGGCACCCUAUUCCCUUCAUAGUGCACUACUGUUGACCAGAGCUCUAUGGGGCCCUGGUCAAAAGUAGUGCACUAUGUAGGGAAUAGGGUGCCAUUUGAUGCUGUCUAAAGCAUCUACUGCACUAAUUACUCCUAGUCUUAUUUAACUCCAGAUGUGUUUUAUAUUAUAAGAGUAAAAUAAAACACUCACAUUUUCAGGAUGAAUUGAUUGUUUAUACAUUCCGACUAAUGUGUAGCGAGAUUAUGUCAAUGCAUUUAUUUUCAUUGAAAACAUUCCGUAUUUAUUCUUAGUUUAGUAUUCUAGGUCAUUUUUUUACUCUGGUAAUGUGCCAUUUCCCCCCUAAAAACCUGCUAACCCCAAACCUACAGUACAGUAUCUAACUGCCAGAGAAGUACUAGAAGUAUAGAAGUACUGUAUUCAGUACAGUAUCUAACUGCCAGAGAAGUACUGGAGUAUAGAAGUACUGUAUUCAGUACAGUAUCUAACUGUCGGAGAAGUACUAGAGUAUAGAGGUACUGUAUUCAGUACAGUAUCUAACUGCCAGAGAAGUACUGGAGUAUAGAAGUACUGUAUUCAGUACAGUAUCUAACUGCCAGAGAAGUACUAGAGUAUAGAAGUACUGUAUUCAGUACAGUAUCUAACUGUCAGAGAAGUACUAGAGUAUAGAGGUACUGUAUUCAGUACAGUAUCUAACUGUCGGAGAAGUACUAGAGUAUAGAGGUACUGUAUUCAGUACAGUAUCUAACUGUCAGAGAAGUACUAGAGUAUAGAGGUACUGUAUUCAGUACAGUAUCUAACUGUCAGAGAAGUACUAGAGUAUAGAGGUACUGUAUUCAGUACAGUAUCUAACUGUCGGAGAAGUACUAGAGUAUAGAGGUACUGUAUUCAGUACAGUAUCUAACUGCCAGAGAAGUACUAGAGUAUAGAGGUACUGUAUUUAUUUAACCUUUUUAUUUAGCAUUACGUUUGAAAGAUUCCCCUAACUUUCCCCAAAUUCCCAGGUUUUCCUUCAGAAAUCCUGGUUAGAAUAUUCCCUGAAUCUGGAAGGAAGAAGCAGGAAAUCAGGGAAUCCUCCAUCUGGGAAUUCUGAAAUACAAAAGGAAUUUCUCAACUUUAUUGAGAGCCUUUAUUUUUUAACAAUAACAACCUGGUAUUAUCCUGGUUUAUCUUCUUAGAACCUAUUUUUUUAAUUCUCCUUUAAUUUCAUAGACUGAUUUUUUGUUGUGCCAUAAUGGAAGAAAUAAGAAAACAAUUGAUUCUAAAUCAGGACCGUAGUUCGUCAUAUUGUCAUGUUUGAUUGCAUUUGAUUUGUGUUGAGUGUUGACUAGUACUGAAGUUGUUGAAUGUACAAUGUACCUAAAUGUCCGGGUAUGUGUCUCAAAUGGAACGCUAUAGACUAAGUAGUGCACUACUUUUUGACUAGGCCUAUGUGGGACGUAUCCCCAAUGUUCCUUUCAUAAUAAUAAUAAAGGCCCAGUUUAUUUGAAUGUGG
Molecule: long non-coding RNA, 1672 nt
Organism: Oncorhynchus kisutch (coho salmon)
Lineage: Eukaryota; Metazoa; Chordata; Actinopteri; Salmoniformes; Salmonidae
Exons: 2
Source: RefSeq, a predicted model, not a curated record